Molecule: non-coding RNA, 46 nt
Organism: Operophtera brumata (winter moth)
Lineage: Eukaryota; Metazoa; Arthropoda; Insecta; Lepidoptera; Geometridae
Source: Rfam
CAAAAGGCUCUUUUCAGAGCUACACACUGCCUCAAGCAGUUAUUAG